RNAcentral lists this ribosomal RNA (255 nucleotides) under uncultured bacterium. RNAcentral describes it as "partial 16S ribosomal RNA". It matches the Rfam family "Bacterial small subunit ribosomal RNA", at positions 524 to 777 of the family's 1533-position model. The record is from RNAcentral.
UACGUAGGUGGCAAGCGUUGUCCGGAUUUACUGGGCGUAAAGAGCGCGCAGGCGGUCAAGUAAGUCGAGUGUGAAAGCCCCCCGGCUCAACUGGGGAGGGUCAUUCGAUACUGAUCGACUCGAAGGCAGGAGAGGGUAGUGGAAUUCCCGGUGUAGUGGUGAAAUGCGUAGAUAUCGGGAGGAACACCAGUGGCGAAGGCGACUACCUGGCCUGUUCUUGACGCUGAGGCGCGAAAGCUAGGGGAGCAAACGGGG